This 300-nucleotide ribosomal RNA is filed under the name uncultured Aeropyrum sp. RNAcentral's name for it is "partial 16S ribosomal RNA". It matches the Rfam family "Bacterial small subunit ribosomal RNA", at positions 496 to 795 of the family's 1533-position model. Lineage: Archaea; Thermoproteati; Thermoproteota; Thermoprotei; Acidilobales; Acidilobaceae. The record is from RNAcentral.
GUUAAUUGGGUGGCGGCAGGCGGGGUAAUGCUGAGGGGGCAAGGGUUAUCCGGAAUGUGUGGGUGUAAAGGGUGGGUAGGUGGCGAGUUAAGUUAGAUGGGAAAGCCCGGGGCUCAACCGCGGGACUGCAUUUAAAACUGGCUUGCUAGAAUACAGGAGAGGUAAGUGGAAUUCCUAGUGUAGCGGUGAAAUGCGUAGAUAUUAGGAGGAACACCAGUGGCGAAGGCGACUUACUGGACUGUUAUUGACACUGAGGCACGAAAGCGUGGGGAGCGAACAGGAUUAGAUACCCCGGUAGUC